AUAACAUCCUCAUAGAACAGCUCAAGAGAUGUGUCACAGACAACUGGUCUGUGAGGUGAAUUUAAAACUGCUCCAAAACAGAGUUCAGAGUGUUGUGACUGGUGGCAGAGAUUCCAGCUGGAGACCUGAGCACUGGGUCCAGUUUUGUUCAAUAUCAACAAUGUGAAUGAAGCCAUUGAGUGCACCCUCAGCAAGUUCCCUGAUGAAACAAAACUGGGGGGGGUGAAGAAAUCAACAGAGUUCAGCAAGGAGAAAUUCAAAGUCCUGCACUUGCUUGUGACCAGUCAGUGAACUUCUCCGUUGGAAGAAGGAUCUGAGGAGAUGGGGCAGGGAUUUGUGCUUAUGAAGCUAGGGGAAUAACACAGAAAGUUACUAACCUCAGCUGCCAAAAUAAAGGCAAACUUAACACAAA
Long non-coding RNA from Pogoniulus pusillus (Red-fronted tinkerbird), 412 nucleotides. RefSeq lists it as uncharacterized. The transcript has 2 exons. The record is from RefSeq and is a predicted model, not a curated record. NCBI's taxonomy places the organism in Eukaryota, Metazoa, Chordata, Aves, Piciformes, Lybiidae.